Rosa rugosa (rugosa rose) is the source of this 1179-nucleotide long non-coding RNA. RefSeq lists it as uncharacterized. The record is from RefSeq and is a predicted model, not a curated record. The transcript has 3 exons. Lineage: Eukaryota; Viridiplantae; Streptophyta; Magnoliopsida; Rosales; Rosaceae.
AUGCAAUGUCAGUCUUGAGACGAGUUGAGAUGAAACUAGAGGGUCGAGAUAUAUCUGACAACAGAGAAAUUAGUAUCUCCGAACAAGUGGACUAUCUGCUUAAGCAAGCCACUAGUGUAGACAAUCUCUGCAACAUGUAUGAAGGUUGGACACCAUGGAUUUGAACUUGUGAAGCUGCUGCCUUCUAUAUGUACGAGGCGUAUUAAUUUAGAAUAGCGGUGGUUAAUUCGUUUUUUCCUUGCAAACUCAGAGAAUUGAGAAUUGAGCCUCUUACACUGGGCAAGGCAUUAAUUGCUUCGGCAAUCCCAUCUCUUUUGGCUUCACAUCUCCUGAUCAUUUAAAUGAGCAAUGGUGAUUAUUUCGUAAGAAAUUGGCCGUCAAUGUCUAAUAGCUGCGGUUGUUGGUGAUAUCUAGUUCAUUAGACCUUGCCCUUUCUACAAUGGCCAGCUGUGUCUUUGGUGGAGGAUAACUUGAAAAUUUUCAAGUGUAUCUAGCUCCCUCUAAAUUGUGGUACCUUGGGUGAGAUUAUGCAUGCGGCAUGGGAAGCAGUCUCGUGUGGAACUCGUGUUAGUUCGUAUUUGGUGGUUGCUAAGCUGUCUUCCCUGCUUUAAUGCCCUAUAAAGGUGGAACAACUUCGCAGACACCAUUGUGGCAGACUGGCAGGAGAAUGCCAUGUGAAGCACUUUGAAGAAGAUUUCGGAUUUUAGCAGCAAGCUGGCCUGGUGUAACACAGUUGUUCGUCUGUGGUCAAUUCUCAGUAUCACAAGAAGCACUGCUACUCCCAAAAAGGAGUCUGUAACUCUGUAUCACAAGUUUACUACGUACCAAUGCAAUCAGCUCACUUUUGCACAGGUUGCAUUUGGUUUAGAAGAUCUUACCUCGCAUGCAGGAAUAUCAAAAGUAUCGAACAUCCACAAUAUAGGAAAUUCCUAAUUUCGUCAACGGCAUUUAUCGACCAACUCUUCCUUUUCGGUCUGGGAAUCUCUUUGUUUGAUACUGGCCGGGAAAGUUCAACAUCUUUUCCCUUUUUACUGUGGUAUAAUGAGUUAAGAAUGUAGAUCUUAUUGAGAGAUCAAUUGCUAAAUAAGGUCCUCUGAUAAACUAGCCAGAUAUUGGUAUUCAGUCCUACUCUGUGAUAUACCUUUUACAUUUAAGUUAAUGGAACAAAAACGGAUUUCA